This 373-nucleotide ribosomal RNA is filed under the name uncultured bacterium. RNAcentral describes it as "bacterial SSU rRNA". It matches the Rfam family "Bacterial small subunit ribosomal RNA", at positions 525 to 896 of the family's 1533-position model. The record is from RNAcentral.
ACGGGAGUGGCAAGCGUUAUCCGGAAUUAUUGGGCGUAAAGCGUCCGCAGGCGGUUUUACAAGUCUGUCGUUAAAACGUGGAGCUCAACUCCAUUUCGGCGAUGGAAACUGUAAGACUAGAGUGUGGUAGGGGCAGAGGGAAUUCCCGGUGUAGCGGUGAAAUGCGUAGAUAUCGGGAAGAACACCAGUGGCGAAGGCGCUCUGCUGGGCCAUAACUGACGCUCAUGGACGAAAGCCAGGGGAGCGAAAGGGAUUAGAUACCCCUGUAGUCCUGGCCGUAAACGAUGAACACUAGGUGUCGGGGGAAUCGACCCCCUCGGUGUCGUAGCCAACGCGUUAAGUGUUCCGCCUGGGGAGUACGCACGCAAGUGUG